RNAcentral lists this transfer RNA (41 nucleotides) under Lachancea thermotolerans. RNAcentral describes it as "partial transfer RNA". The record is from RNAcentral. Lineage: Eukaryota; Fungi; Ascomycota; Saccharomycetes; Saccharomycetales; Saccharomycetaceae.
UUGCCAUCGAUGGGCCCCCGGUUCGAUUCCGGGCUUGCGCA